GCAGGGAGCUCAAGCAACUCGAUAAACCAGGCAGCUAUAGCUGUCAAAUCAAGCGGACACUGCAGUGAGGGUGAGGGGAGAGUCUGGGAGCCUCUUCCACUGAAGGUGGCUGGUCGAGGUUCAUCGCCAACCGCAAGUGUGUGUUUCUGAAAAUUAUUGCACUUAUGUUGCAGCAUCUAUCAAACCUCUAAAACCCAUUUUAUGCUUUAAAAUACUAUUAUCUCGUGUGCCAAGACCAGUAACAUUGCACUAUAUGCAGAAGCUGUAAGAUGAAUAAAGAGCUUUUAAGCUUGUUUUAUUCUGUUGCUGAUAUUAUAUGCUGUAUAUACCCAGGGUUUCUGGGUAAUCUUCUUCAAACUUAGCUACUAUGUUGGAAUGUAAUAAAAGCAUUAUACAUGUGGAUUAAGCAUAAAUGAGAACUACCAAUGUGCUUUGGUUGGACGUUGGUGGAUGGCUUUGGGCUGUCUCCAAGCACCUAUUUAAAACUUCUGUCUGGCUGUUGGUUUGCGGGUGAUAUGUCGUACUCCUUUUCAAUUUAGUAUCCUGCAUAUGGAAUAACUUUGUCCAAAAUCUGCUCUUGAAGAUGCAAGUAGAAUUUGUCACAAGCAUAAUGCGUCCCUUAUAGCAUAAUUCUUUUGAGUCCCGAUUGUAAUGAGCCACGGAGCUUGGUGCUUCCUCCAAAUUUUUUAUUUUUUAUUUUUUUUUACUAGUCUCCGAAUCUUCCUGCCUCUGUGCUGGUUGAAUGAUAUUGUAGCAGGUAUGACUUAAGGUUGUUGGUGGGUCUUUUGUCUUCUAAUUUUCCCUUACCUUUCUUUUGAUAUUAGCUACCAUAGAAAUCUGUCUAUUUUUGAUAAAUAAUUAAAUGAUUAAGAAAUUAAAUUGGAAUCUAUCAAUCAUAUCUAUUGUAUGUUUGAAAAAGUGAGAAAUAAACUAAAACAAACCAAAGAAUAUUUUUAGAUUCCAACUUAAAAUUUGUUAGAUUUUAUGAACAUGAAUCUUAAUGUAAAUUUUCAUGAUAUUAUUUUAUAGAAUUUAUGCUUAAUAAACAAACAUAACUAAAACUAUGUGUCGCGGAAGGUGUAAAUUUAUUAGACGUCUAUUUGGUAUAUUCUUUCUACAUCGUCAAGUCAAUCCAACGACCAUUAUUAGUCUACCGGGAAAAGGUUGAAAAUUUACCUUCCCGCCGCCCCCUCGCGCCUUCACUUGGAUUUCUUCGGUUCAUCCCGCCAAGAGAGUGGCGCCAAUCAUUCCCGCCAUCUCCCCUUCCUGCCUAUAUAAGACGCUUAGGCUCUCCUUAUCUUGCAUCUCUCUCUCUCUCUCUCUCUCUCUCUCUUUGUAAAUGGUGGUGGCGUUGGGUCCGGGGAGGUUCUACGGGAGUAGCCUCCCGCGGCCUCGCUUCUACGCUGAUGUGAAGUUCAACGACGAGCGGGUGGACCCACCGGUGCCCGUCAUGGACCCCUUCCUCUCCUGGGCGAAGGAGGCGCACUGGUCCAUGGGCGGCCUCAAUUUCAACCGCCACCGCCUCCAGGGCCGCAUCGAGGGCUCCAUCAAGAAGCUCCGCGCACAGCAAGAGAAGAUGCAACGAGGAACGCCGGUGCUCUCCGUCAGACCCAAGUCGAUGAUUUCGAAGCCCAGAGUCGCCGGCCGGAAGCCUCUCCAUCUUGCGUCCCCCGAUUCGGUCUCGUCUGGUGGCGAUGAUGAUGAGGAGGUGGUAGCGUCGGAACAAGGGAAGAGUGAGUUUAAGGUUUCUUCCUCUCCAAGUAGAUCUGGUGAUGGCAAGAGGAAAAGGGUGAGGAGGCUCGGGGAGGAAUUCGAUAGGAUCGCGGCGGAGCAGCUGAAGGGGCCGAGGGAGGAUGCUGGUGGCGUGGCAUCAAGGACCCGGCGGCGGAGGUCAGUUACAGAGGAAGUCGAGGUUGAUGAAGGGGACGCUACUUCUGCUUCUCCUAACAGGAAACGCAGCAACCAGGCCGAGGGAAAGAAGAUGAAGGAGGUCGAUGGUGCGGUGCCGAGGAGGACUUCGCCUAGGAAGAAGCAAUCAAGUUGAUAACCAUGUUCGUCGAUCACAUGCAUGUGCCCUUGGUGGUGCCACCAACUGUCGUCCUUAGGUUGUAUGCAACAUGUUUGUGAUAUUGACUGUGAUGAGGAACAAAAGAAAAGUUUGCCAUUGUGCAGUUCUGGCUUUUCAGUGUAGUUCUUUGUGGCAUAAAAAUAUGUGUUAACAUAAUAUUUAUGAUUUCGUCUAAAUAGUUUUAAUAAUUUUUAAUGAUUAUAAUUUGUUUUAUGUAAAAUAAUCAUAAUGAUCAUUUGAAAAGAUAAUUAAUCUAUUAACAUGAAGGGUGUGAAGCAAUAAAUAAAUAACUUGCUUACCUGCCUGUAGGCCCUGCGAAGGAACGAGGUCGAAAGGCAAUGCCCAACCCAUGAGCUUCGUAGUAGUUGGCGCAGCACGCAGGUGUGAUGUCUCCCUAUAAUCAAUCCUUGCCUGCACACAUCCUCCGCCAUCAGCCAAGCAAGAAGGCUUACGGUACCCAAAGGAACGAUCUUUCGUCCAUGACGACUCACCUUCUCCCCAUCACUCUGCUCUCCCUGCUCGCCGCGGCCUCGUCCCACCACCCGAUUGCAGCUUCGCCGCACGGCAGGGACGUCGUAGUGGCGGUCCGGGAGAUGCAGCGCGCCAGCUACUUCUCCUUCGCCAUGCUCAUCCAGAUGG
Molecule: long non-coding RNA, 2707 nt
Filed under: Musa acuminata (dwarf banana)
Lineage: Eukaryota; Viridiplantae; Streptophyta; Magnoliopsida; Zingiberales; Musaceae
Description: long non-coding RNA (MACU_LNC005892)
Source: RNAcentral